This 735-nucleotide ribosomal RNA is filed under the name Vreelandella zhaodongensis. RNAcentral describes it as "bacterial SSU rRNA". It matches the Rfam family "Bacterial small subunit ribosomal RNA", at positions 382 to 1110 of the family's 1533-position model. The record is from RNAcentral. Lineage: Bacteria; Pseudomonadati; Pseudomonadota; Gammaproteobacteria; Oceanospirillales; Halomonadaceae.
ACUGAUCAGCCAUGCCGCGUGUGUGAAGAAGGCCUUCGGGUUGUAAAGCACUUUCAGCGAGGAAGAACGCCUAGUGGUUAAUACCCAUUAGGAAAGACAUCACUCGCAGAAGAAGCACCGGCUAACUCCGUGCCAGCAGCCGCGGUAAUACGGAGGGUGCAAGCGUUAAUCGGAAUUACUGGGCGUAAAGCGCGCGUAGGUGGCUUGAUAAGCCGGUUGUGAAAGCCCCGGGCUCAACCUGGGAACGGCAUCCGGAACUGUCAAGCUAGAGUGCAGGAGAGGAAGGUAGAAUUCCCGGUGUAGCGGUGAAAUGCGUAGAGAUCGGGAGGAAUACCAGUGGCGAAGGCGGCCUUCUGGACUGACACUGACACUGAGGUGCGAAAGCGUGGGUAGCAAACAGGAUUAGAUACCCUGGUAGUCCACGCCGUAAACGAUGUCGACCAGCCGUUGGGUGCCUAGCGCACUUUGUGGCGAAGUUAACGCGAUAAGUCGACCGCCUGGGGAGUACGGCCGCAAGGUUAAAACUCAAAUGAAUUGACGGGGGCCCGCACAAGCGGUGGAGCAUGUGGUUUAAUUCGAUGCAACGCGAAGAACCUUACCUACUCUUGACAUCCUGCGAACUUGUGAGAGAUCACUUGGUGCCUUCGGGAACGCAGAGACAGGUGCUGCAUGGCUGUCGUCAGCUCGUGUUGUGAAAUGUUGGGUUAAGUCCCGUAACGAGCGCAACCCUUGUCC